This 3975-nucleotide long non-coding RNA is filed under the name Homo sapiens (human). RNAcentral describes it as "HSALNT0179390". The record is from RNAcentral. Lineage: Eukaryota; Metazoa; Chordata; Mammalia; Primates; Hominidae.
GUAUAAUUUAACUUUAUAUACGUUUGCCUCUUAUUUUUAUACACUGAAGAGAAGCUAUAUAUGUUUGGAUUGUUAACAAAUGUGCUUAUUUCUUGCCACUUUGAAAAUUAUGCUAUAAAGGACAUGUAAUAAGUAUAGAAUGCUGUGGAAGGGUUGUGAAAAGGAGAUUUUAUUUAUCAUGGCCAAAGCUGGCUAAGGUUUGAUCAGUUUAUUUAUGAGAUUUUCAUGGUCUUUGAGCUAUUUUUACACCUCUCUGUAAAUUGUAGGUGAUGGAUAUGCGAACUUUGUCUUUUCUGGUAGAGAUUAACUGACUUCCUACCUCCCUGUGGAAAACCCGGGUUGGUACCUACUUGCAAGUUGGACUGAAUCCUGUUACCUUGCCCAAAUUUUCACUUCUUCCAGAUUCCUUCGAUAUGUGGCUACAACUUUCCAAAUUAACUUUUUUGGUUUAUCGCCCGCUGCCCCAAUGGCAUUCCUGAGGACCAAAACCCCUCUAUGUCCCUAUUGGGACCUUAGGUUGCCAUGCAGUUGGCCAUUUUUCCUAGGAUUUGACAAAGGCCUGCAAACCGAAGCUGGACAACUUGAUAUAAAUCUGGAAGGACUCACCAUCACUGCAGACCAUGCAUGAGAAGGAAUGAUGUUCCUUGUGCCCAGGAAGCUAGGGAGACGUAUGAGAAGAAAGGAUGGCCUGUUAUGUGUAGGCAAGUAUGCCUUUAGAGAGCCUCCCAGUUUCCUGCCUGUAACUCAGUGCACCACUGAACUUGCUGAAUCAUUCCUGAGAGAUCAAAACUGGCACAGAUGUAGGAAUGAAACCCACAGGCUCUAAAGGAGAUUUCAGAUAUGAAUGGAGAAUAAUUUAGAAACCUGAGUGGGCAGGCAAUUGAGGGCCCAAAGAACCACUGGACAUCUCAACAGAUUCCAGCUCAGGGACAUAAACUCAUAGAUCAAAUGCACUAUCGACUCUCACUUAACACUUAGAAGCACCUCUUGGGAAAAGCAGACAUGACCAAAUGGACAUGCUCUGUUUUAGCUCUGUUUUGACUUACCACCAGAUAGGAUGAUAGCUCAAAACAGAAAUUACAUACAGUUAUAGAAAAGAAAGAUAUUUGUAGAUUAUUUGAACCCAUUAUACAUGUUAAGUCGCUACCCUUCAAUUGGAUGCAAAAGCAAAACACAAUACAACCCCAAAUCUUUACACUACAGUGAUCAAGGCUGGGGGAUGUAAGAGAUACAGCAAUCAGUGUGCAGAGUGAGAACAGAAUUGCCUGGGCUUGAGGCUCUAGUGACCUAAUGUGAGCCUGUGUUGGUAGAGUCCUGGUGGCCACAGCUAGUGCAGUUCUGACUCUGGGGAGAGGUCAGGUGACCUGACCUUGACCUUCACGUUUAUGACAAUUUGAGAUGUCACAUCAAUUUUUCUAACUGGGAAGCAGAAAAGUGAUACAGGGCUGUAUUAGUGCAAUCUUUCUCAUGCAAUAUGAAAAUAAGCAAGAAUUCGGGAAAAGUUUUGUUACUUGUGACUUAUUUCUUGUGUAUGAGACCACACUGCUUCAGAGUGAAGCCUUCCUGUUUCUCACUAAAUUCCCAGCCCCCCCCCUUUUUUUUUUUUCUGUGUGAGGGAGUGGGGGCAGGUGAGGAGGAGGGACACAGGGACACAGCUGGCUAUUGGUCAAAGUUAAAACCAACAUUCCUGACAGUGGAGUUCUGAGCUCUGCACAAGCUCUUCAGGAUGUGUUCCUGGACUAAGUGCCAAGGACUACUCCUGGGACUAAGAAAACUCCAGUGGGCUGUCCUCAUCACAUCAGACUCCCAUGGAUGUCAUGUAUCUUAUCUAAAGCCAGAGCAAGGCACAUGGGAUCAGGACCCACAGAGGCACGAAGGACACUUCCAUCCCUUCCUCUCCCUCUUCUCCAACAGUCCACACCAAGUCCCACUUGAAGGAAAAGACAUACCAGAUGACUGGGGUAUUCAAAAGAGGUUUAGAUCGUAGGAGAAGGUAACUCAGCCUCCUCCAACUUAGAAAAUGUCUACAGAAAGCCUGACAAGGGAGAAAGAACCAAAAGAAGGCCAGAAAGAUACCUAAUGGAUUCUUCUUUCUCCAUAGUGACCUGAUGGAGACAGCCAUUCCACUCAGCCUCAUCCAAGGACAUGGGGACACAACAAGGGACCUCACGAGAUCGCUUUACAGACCAGUUGGUCCGGAGGCACAUUUCUUCUGCAGGGAUUGGCAAGGAAGAUUUCAGUCUUCAAGGUAGAUUUUUCACUAUAAACAUUGAUAUGACUUUAUCCUUUCAGGUCAGAGUCUAUCAUUGCCUUAAUUCUUUUAAAACCAGAUGGGGAAAUUGUAAAUUGAAAUAUAAUGUUUAUGAAGAGCAUUAUAUUUGGCCUGAAGGCUGUGAGAGGUAGGGUGAAAAUGUUUUUAUGAAUCCCUGGAACUUGAAGUUUAUCUUAAUCCCUUACCCUCUGUCCAGGUCUGUUGCUGGGCCUGGGCAAUGGAUGCGUUUUUCAGUAAUAAAGAGAAGAAUUUGAAGUUCCAACAGAUGAUUCAGGAAAUGAGGAAAGAUGACUAGGGGGUGGGUGCUACAUAAAGAAGGAAUUUGAAGACAGCAGGAAUAUCUCAAAAUGGACUUUGGCAUGACUGUUAUAAAUUCUUCCUCUAACUCCUCUACAGAAUCUUUAAUAAAGUCUACAAUGCUCUUUUGUACAUUUGUGCGAGUGAAUUCUCUUAGGCAUUGACUUUCAUGUCAGGUUGGGUCAUUCUUGGUGCAACACAAAGGCGGCACUGGAGGGAAACAAAGUGUGGAGGCAAAUGGGCCACGAGACUUUAAGUCCUCAGGAAACAGAUGUCAGGGGUGGGGGAAUGGUUUCCCCAGGCUGUGAAACGGAGAUGUGAGGCUUGUGUUUGGCUGCAACUUGUGGGUCCAGCAGGCUCUAGCUGACCAGAACUACAACAUGAUAAAUUGUCAUUUCAAUCCUUCACUGGCUACCCAUUGUCUAAGUCCAUACUCCUUGGCAGGAGAGGUGCUGCUCCUCCAAACUUUCUUCCUUCAAACAUUUUUUCCAUUUUCCUCUAAAAAUGGCAACAGUUCCCUUUCACAGAUUCAAUAGCUAAGACUGGAAUUUUCAAAACAACUAAGUAUUGGAGAGUAAAAGGGGAAAAAAAGUAUAAAUCAUUUAAAUGAUGCUACCUCCUGCAAUAGGGCUCUGAGUCUUUGUAUGGAUGAUACAUAAAGCCCUUUCAAAUCUGGCCUGCCACCUCUCCAUUGUCAUUUCUCCCAUACACUGCCUUGCCACUGCAUGCUACAGCAUUACCAUUUGCAAGAAACCUAAAUGACGACACUCUAACCCCACCAAGGAAAACAAAUUACUCUUCUCUGUCUCUUCCGAGCAUAGCAUUCCAGAUCAUUUUGCAUAAAUAUUUAUUGACAUGCUUGGCUCUCCUAAAAGAUUUUGUGAGUUUCCAACCCCAGAACCCACUGAGUGCUUAAAAAGUAGUAGAAUCUCAAUGAAUGUUUGUUGAAUUAAAACGAUUCCAAAGAUUGAUGUUAAAACAGAAAAGGAACAGACAGACAGAGUUGGAACGGCAAUUCUGCCACUUACUGGCUUGACAACUUUGGACCAGUUCCUUAAUCUCUCAGUGUCAACUGCUUCAUCCAUCAAUAAUGGUACUUUGUAGAGAGAAGGUGAAAGCAUAUAAAGUAUCUGGUCCCAGUGGUCGCUCUUAAUUAGUAGGCCAGGGGCUUCCCAGAUUUUUCAUUAUCAGCAAUGAAAUAUUUCAUAGAACCAGAUAAGAGCAGAGCUACUGUAACUUAGGGGUGCAGCCUCAGAGCCCCACCUGCUUAGCUACACCCACAUCUUGACCUACUCACUCCCACCCCAGAAGAACCCCAGGACUCCCAGAGCAUGGAGUAAAAUCUACUGUCUUAAAACAGCAUGGGAGGCAUACAACUAGUAGUAUGUGAGAUGAUUUUAAGUGGC